Long non-coding RNA from Betta splendens (Siamese fighting fish), 1223 nucleotides. RefSeq lists it as uncharacterized. The transcript has 4 exons. The record is from RefSeq and is a predicted model, not a curated record. Lineage: Eukaryota; Metazoa; Chordata; Actinopteri; Anabantiformes; Osphronemidae.
GCGAGGAGGAAGUGAACGGGGGAGCGGCACACGACGGGGAGCGAGAGAACACGGAGGACUGUGAGAAAGUUUGCUGGAGGAAAACACACGCGGGGAGAAAAGAGAAAAGAGGCUGCGGCUCAUGUUUCCCGGCUCAAUGCCCUGUGACCCAAGAGGUUCAAAAUCUGACCUGUUUCAACCUACAGACGCCAUUGAGUUGAUGGUUUAGACAGUCGUCAAAAAUGGAUUAUAUCACCAGAAAGGCAGGAAUCUAAGGUUUGGAAGGGCGUGUAAGAAGUCCGGAUGAUGAGACCACAGUUCCUAACUCAGGGCACAGACACCAACCACCCUCACUGUGGAACAAGAGGGAGUCUGUCCAAACAAACCAAUCACUGCUCGGAUCAAUGAGCUCCCUGCAUAAUGUAAGAAAGCAGCUUCAAUCUGCUCCCACUGCGCUGCCCAGACAAUCCCAGCCUAAUCCACAGUCCAGCCCUGGAUUAGAUCGUCUGCUCCGUCCACCAUCUCUGCAUAUUUGGAAAUUAGACUAGAUUAAAUGAAACCCACGAGGUCAACAACAAAGCCCAAACCUGAGCAGCCGCGGGGCGUUUAGGUGUUUUCCUGACAACGGCGAUUACAUCCGUCGCUCCCCCAGAUUAACUGAGCGUGCAGAUUUUAGACAACAAACAAAGCAUUUAGACAGAUUUCCUCUUAUGUAGCAGAAUUGAGAACAACAUGGCACCGCUCAAAUGCAGAUUUGUUUUGAUUGUUGCAUGGGAGCGCGUUGCCACGGCAACCAUGGCGUUUCUUGUUUCUCGACUCAAAGCUCUCGCAGAUGGUUUUGGUUCAGCGUGUGUCCGCAUGCGCUGCUGUAAAUCUAUACCUCUGUGUGUGUGUGUGUGUGUGUGUGUGUGUGCGUGCGUGUGUGUGUGUGUGUCUGCGCAUGUGCGUGUGCGUGCACGUGUGUGUGUGUGUUUGGAGCUCCAGAUUGCGAGCCCAUCUUAUGUCGAUGAAAACCAUAUUAUCAGCAGAUGGUUCAGCAACUGAUCUCUGCGCUGAUCUCUGAUGUGGUCUCUUCGCAUGCAUCUCUCAUUUUCUUCCAGCUGUGCAGAAAAUAAAAGUGAAUAGAAUUGUAAAAGUACAUGAUGAGUGGCUUGGUAUAAGGAAGUAUGGCCUAAUCAACAUCUUAAUAAAUAGGCUCUCUGAAGUCUCCCCUUUAGUCUAAAGCUUCCUGUCUGCAGUGUAUU